GACGUCACCCUCCCGCGCCGUCCUCCCAGAGUGCCCCGCGGGAGCUAGGCGCUUGACUGUAUUGAGGGGGCCUCAGGUGGGCGGCUGCAUAGGUGUGCGCGUAGCUAAGUGGGGUGUAGGGGUCUGCAGGGUACGGUGGUUGCGCGGGAGGCCGAUCCUCGCCCCGGGGCCAGCCUCCGCCACAGAGGCGACAAGCAGGCGCGUGGGGAUGGGGGCUGGAGCGAGAGCAGGAGGGGCGGCGCAGAGAAUCUGCUGGAACUGAGGCUUCUGGGCCCUUGCGCUGGAGCCAUCAAUUCAUGGGAACCGGAGUUCCUUUGGGCCCCAAGGACUCUUCUGGAGCCGCCUUGCAGAAGCAGAACCGGGACAGUGAUAACCAGACCAGAGUUGACUGUGUUACUGUGUAAUUAUGCACACUUGCUCUCGGCCUCAGUUCUUUUUCUGUAUAAACUUAAGAGUGGCCAGUCCGUCUUCCUGAAGUUGUGGCUAAGGAUAUCUGCUCCCCCUAUAUUCCCCUUGUAGCUACAAUAAUGAAACUUCUUUCUCGUUUAAUGAUUUUUGGGGGCAACUGAUUUCUUGGGAUCUCCAGAGUCCAGCCUCUAUCUUAGGACUCUAGUAGCAGCCAGAAGGAACAAUUUUGUGGACUCUUAAGAACAGUUUUCAAGUUUGAGAAGCAGGAGUGUCUAAUGCGCUCUUGAUGUGGAUGAUCCAGUAGGCUUGCGAAAUUUACAGCCCUCUGCUCAGUAUCCAUUUUCAACUGCUGAAAUCACCUCGAUCGUGCUCGUCUUCCUACAGAAGGCUGCUUUUUGAUUAAAAAAAAUUUAAAAAAGCCCAGGUCCUGCCCGACCUGUGCCCUACAAUGUUUCGUGUUACAAUAUGAAUCCAAUGUAGGGACAAGCACUUUAGUUUUUUGUUUUUCUUUGCGAUGGGGUUUCUAUAUAUAGUCCAUGCUGGCCGUGAACUCACUGUAUAUCCCAUGCUGACCCUAAACUUGCAGUGAUCCUGCUGCCUUAUCCUCCUGAAUGCUGGGAGUAGAGGCACAGGCCACUGUGCCCAGCCAGGGACAAGCACUUUGAAGGAAAAUACAAAAUUCCUUAGCAUGAGAUGGCCAGUGCCCACUCCCAGGGUCUAGGAAGAAGGAAACUUACUUCACUUUUGAGGGAUCUGUGGGUGGCACCUCAUGUUUUUGGUGGAAAGGCAUCAUUUCAGCCUGUGGUAGGGACCUGCUCUUCCCAUUUCUUCCAGAGAGUUGCCAAAAGCAGGACCUUGCUCUGCUGGAGUUGCUGGUGUCCUUGCUCUAUUCUCUGUGGUGGAGCCUGGGCUACUGAGUCUCCAGCACCCAUGGAUACAUCAUCAAAAGUAUCCUUGGGCAUUAACUGAAACAUCAGUGCUAUUGCUCAGGGGUUUCAGAGGCAGGAGGGGCUGUGGGGAGGGGGUCAUGGGAACCAGCUUUUUCCAAGCAAGUGGAGGGAUUAGUUGCAGAUUUAGUAAAGGGGCUGAGGGUGGGGAUGGUCGGCCAGCAGAGACUCCCUGCACCACACACUCACAUCCCAGGUGUUUUUCAGCUACAGGAUCUGUUCAUAGCCCCACUGGUAUCAGUGUUGUCAUGGUGUCUAACCAGACUGCUUCCCUCUAGUUGUACUGUCCUGUCAGAAAACCCUCAGGGACCUCCUUUCACCCUGAGGGACAUUCUUCCUUAGCAGGCUCCAAGCUUUUUUUCGAAGUGUGCCUGCUGUCCUCCACAGUGCUGUCCUGUGCCCAUGGGGCAUCUUGUCCUAUUCUGAAGUGCUCUUGAGACCCCUGCAUUGGUUGCAUCUCCUGCUGCAGUCAACUGUAGGCAAUGCCAGCUCUAAGCAUGAGGGCUCGGGAAGCUGGGGCCUGCGGGGUCUUGUGGCAUCUAGGUGGCUUAGAAAGGGCUGCAGAGCCCUGGGAGCUCUGGGAUGGGCCAUCCCCCAAUUUCCUCAAGUGCCUCAUUUUCCUGUCAGGGUCCAGGCUGUUCUCAGAGCUGGAAUUGGAUCCGUGCUGUUUCAUUCUGUGUGCAUCCUUGGUGAACCCAGUGGGCCCUGGGGCUCUCAGAGGAGGGACUUUGCAGCAGAUGUGCUCCUUACAGGGUGGGCUGACCAUGUCCCCUGCCCCACUCUGUUCAGGUUCCACAGGAGGACAAGGACAAGGUGCCUGUCUCAGUCUCCUUGGGACUUUGACCUCUGCUGAGCCACGUCACAGUUGUUACUCAAGGGCUAGAAAGCAGAAAUCUUACCAACGCCUUUAAAGAGCACCAGAGGUGGUGCUGUUGGGCUCCCAAAGAGCCGUACACUGGCUCCUCAGUGCUUCAGCCUUGCUACACAGCUCAGUUCCCAGAAGGUGGUCUCUAGGCUUUGCUGGCCUCCCUGAUCCCCAAGGCCAGCCUGUUUCUAUGUACUGGGCAGCAGACGCACAAAAGGCCCACUGACUGACUGCUUAGGCAGCAGGAACUGCUGGGCCCCGCCCCGGCCUUAACUUCACCCUGUGAUCUGAGGCUAGUGCUGGCAGCCGUGGGUCAGUGGCUCUCUGCCCUGCUGUGUUCUAUGGAUAGCUCAGAGAGAUGCCGAAGAAAUGUCUGCUUGCAGAUUGGUGGCCGUAGAGUGGAGAGUGGCUCUCCUGGCAUUCAGAUCUGGAUGUUUAGAUUCUGCUGGCUCAAUGCUGGCUGCAGAACGGUUGCUGCUGGUCCUCCAAGGCAAUUGCCCUCAUCGACGGUCCAAUUCCCCAGGAGGAAAAAUCAAUGAGAUUGUGGGUUUCUGCUGUAGCACACAUGAGCCCUGUGAUUAUCGUACAAAAAGUCGGCUGGCCUCCCACAGUGGGACUUAGUUCUGUGGGCUUUGCUGUUACCUCAAGAAACUUAUUUUUGAACAAAUAAUAGAUGAUAUUCUCUGGCACCCAUGGGAGCUAAACAGCUCCUGACAGCUGGUGAGCUCUCAGAGGCGGCUCUUCCUGGGCAGGUGGGGGAGCCAUUUGCCAGGCUGUUCCACCCAAUCUCCUGCUGAUCCCGGGGUGCCAGCUUGCUUCUGCUGUGGCUGUAAUUGCCCCCUUGAUGAGCACGGUAAUGACGGCCUGGAGCUGCCAGCAUGAGUGCUGGAGCCAGAGUGCAGAGCACUUUCCCCGCCAUGGAAAAGCCUCUGAAGGGCAAGGAGAUGUGGCUGGGGACAAGGGCGCUUACCUGCCCAGGCACUCACAGGAAGCAGAGCAGCUAUUCUGGCAUGGGGUGCACCUGAGAGGAGGCACAUGAGGACCCCUUCCAGUGGGCCCACUCAGUGGCUGUGGUGACCACAGGGCAGGAAUGCAGGGCUGCAGUUGGGUGGAUGAGGAAACUCAGGCAGGGAAGGGUUUUCACCAAACCCACACUGGGGUCCAGCGAUGACCCCACAGAGCUGCCCACCUGCCCUCAAAAGUGUGCUCAAAGGCAGCACUGCCUGAAGGGUGCAGGCCCCAGGCCUCUGGCUGCCAGGAGGAGGCAGGCCGCAGGCAGGGUGCCGGGUCAAGGGAGGUUCCACAGGGACAGGUGGGCAGCCCUGAUGGCUGUGUCUCAGGUCCAAGGGCAGAGGGCCUCCUGCAGGACAGAGGGAGAAGCAGGGGGUCCUUAGUAGUGUCCUCUCCUCCUCUAAAGAUGGGGACACAGUACCCGGCCACAUUCAGCCACAGUGGCCCUUGGUGAGGAGGGGCUGGUGGUAUGGCAGGAGGGACCAUGGCAGUGGCUCCUACUGGAGAUGGGCAGCGGCUCUGGUUCCGGGGAGGCUGCAGCAUCGGAGGGACAUGGAACAGGGCGUCUUCCAGGACCGACCCUGACUACACCAUGCCUGCUUGCACAGCACCACAGGAGGGCUCCCGGGUCAGGCCACGUGCAUGUAGAGCUCCUGGCAGGCUUUCUGUAAGUGAGAUGUCUCCAGGUAGACAGGUCUUGUCCCUGGGAUAAGCUGAGUGUGAGGACUGCACCUGACUGCUUCCGUGUGAGCUGGGGCACAGUUAUGUAACUCACAGCACUGGGGCCAAAGUGAGGAGACGAAGCUACCUGCAGGGGAGUCCAGUGCUGUGGAGGUGGUGGCACCAGCACAGGGGAUCAAGGGCAAUCUCUGGCUUUCUCGGACCAUGCCGGCAGAAGGAUAAGUCCAGCCCUGGUGUCAGACCCUCUUGGCUAUGAGGGAGCCUGGCCAGGGUUCCUUGUUGCUGUGGGUUUCCAGAUGGGAAGGCAGGGCAUCCUCUUCGUAGGCUGGGGCUCCAACUCGGGUCCUGUGGGCAGGCUGCUUCCCAUUUAGGCCGUAAGGCUCCACCCUCAAAUUCUCAUGAUUCUGUCUCUGAGCUGGUGUUUUGCCAUUGAGGUCUGCAGGGCCAGGUGGGUGUGAGCAGCAUAGAGAUGCAGUGCUCAUGCUGCCUGCUCCAUGGAGCCUUCAUGGCACCCAGGAGGUAAGAGAGGCCCGAGGUGUCCUCUGGAGUCAUGCGGCUGAGGCUGGAGAGGCCAGCUGGCAUCAGGAGGCUGUGCCUUGUGCUGCCUGUGUUGAGGCCUGGACUUGCCCACCCCUGACUGUCCUGGCCUUCCCUGCUGAGCACGUGAUUCUCCCCACUCUUGUCUGUCACUGGUGGACAAUUAUGCUGCUCUUCCCCAAAUUUUCCUGAGAAGAUGCUCUCGGCCCCCAGGUCCGGCAGACUCGUUCGUGGUGAGUGUUGGCCUAUGCAGUGCAGGACAUGGCUUGGAUCUGUGGGCCUUUCCUAGAGCCCACUGUCUGGGCUUCUGAAGCCCUUUUGUCCCAGAGGCUCCACGGUCUCUAGACUUUGGCUCUCGCCUCAUGGGCACAGAAUCCAUGAACCCACUGCAGGAUAUGUGGGCAAGGACAGGCAGCGUGUCACACCUACAGCUGGAUAGUGAGAGCCUUCAUUCAAGCCAGACCUCAGGCAGAGAGGGCCACAGGGGCCAGGGCACAGGGCAGAGAGGCAGGGACAGGUGACAAUUUCGAGGUGGCUUCCGAGGGACAUUGUGAGCGCAGACUGCCUCUGACACCCAGCAGGGCCUCUGCAGACUCAGGGUGCAGGUUUGAUGCACACAUAAAGGUGAAUGUCAAGUCCAUGAUGCUGACUCUAAAUUUUGGGGUUUUUAAGUAAAAAAUUAAAUUGGCCCAGGAUAAUUGCACACUGUUGGGAGCCGUGGCACUGUCAAGUCAUCAGACGCGGUGAUUGCGAGGCCUGUGGGAAAGUACAAAAGCCUGAGCUAGAUUACCCCUCUCAUCGAGCCCGCCUGUGUGGCACCUGUUUCUUAUCACCCCACUAAGUUCCCGCCUCACAGGGUAGUCUGCCUAGCUAUUAAUCCUAUAUAUAGCCAGUGCCUCCACCCCCGAGAGAGAGACUGAAGCACGGAAGGAGCCGCGGGGAGCGGACCGGUAGAGGCUUCGGGGCAGACUGAAGCACGGAAGGAGCCGCGGAGAGCGGACCGGUAGAGGCUUCGGGGCAGACUGUAUAAGGAGAGAAUAAAGAAAAGCCUGACCACCGCCA
Cavia porcellus (domestic guinea pig) is the source of this 5511-nucleotide long non-coding RNA. RefSeq lists it as uncharacterized. The transcript is spliced from 2 exons. Lineage: Eukaryota; Metazoa; Chordata; Mammalia; Rodentia; Caviidae. The record is from RefSeq and is a predicted model, not a curated record.